Dreissena polymorpha is the source of this 3589-nucleotide RNA transcript. It is a transcript of the gene named heterogeneous nuclear ribonucleoprotein A2 homolog 1-like, with no coding region annotated. The record is from RefSeq and is a predicted model, not a curated record. Lineage: Eukaryota; Metazoa; Mollusca; Bivalvia; Myida; Dreissenidae. The transcript is spliced from 12 exons.
GUUAAUUACAACUAGCAAGAUGGCUGGAAGCGAUAAUGAGGAAGGAGGCAAGAGACGGUCAUCUCAAGGCAAGCGGAAGCGCGGUGAUGAUGACUAUGGGGAUGACUCGGAGCGGUUCCGCAAGCUGUUCAUUGGUGGCCUGUCCUACACAACCACCAAUGAAUCUCUUAAAGAGUACUUUGAGCAGUGGGGGCAGGUGGUCGACUGCAUCGUUAUGAUGGAUCCUCAGACCAAGAGGUCGCGGGGCUUUGGCUUUGUUACAUACCAGGAACUGUCCAUGGUGGAAGACUGUAUGGCCUGUAGACCGCAUGUUGUUGACGGACGUACAGUAGACUCAAAGAGAGCCAUGCCAAAAGUGAUGGACAUUGGUAACCAAUGGCAGGGCAAGAACGCCAUGAAUGAGAGCAAGGAGUCCGUGUACAAGCUGUUUGUGGGGGGCAUCAAGGACCAGUCUACCAGUGCCUCCAUCAAGGAGGAGAUGACCCAGUUUGGUGCUGUACGCCAUGUGGAGUUGAUGAUGGACAAGACCACAGGCAGGCAUCGUGGCUUCUGCUUUGUCACGUUUGAGGACACAGACUCUGUGGAUAAGGCUGUUUUGAUGAAGAACAUUGAGAUUGAUGGGAAGGAAGUGGAGAUGAAGAAAGCAGAGGCCAAGACCAGCAGGGGAGGAGGUCGAUACAGGGAUGACAUGGACUCUGGCAUGGGCAUGGGUGGAGGAAGUAUGAGAAGCAGAAACAGAGGAAUGGGGAACCAGAUGGGAAUGGGUGGAACUAUGGGAAAUCAAAUGGGAAUGGGUGGAAAUAUGGGAAUGAAUAACAUGGGAAUGGGUGGAAAUAUGGGAAUGGGUGGUAAUAUGGGAAUGGGAAAUAUGGGAAUGGGUGGUAAUCAAAUGGGAAUGGGAAAUAUGGGCAUGAAUAACAUGGGAAUGGGCAUGAAUAAUAUGGGUAUGGGAGGGAAUAUGGGCAUGGGUAAUAUGGGCAUGGGUGGUAACAUGGGAAUGGGAAAUAUGGGCAUGAAUAACAUGGGCAUGAAUAACAUGGGAAUGGGUAUGAGUAAUAUGGGAAUGGGAGGAAACAUGGGUAUGGGUGGAAAUAUGGGCAUGGGUGGAAAUAUGGGAAUGAACAACAUGGGUUAUGGGGGAAUGAAUAAUAUGGGAAUGGGUGGAAAUAUGGGAAUGGGCAACAACAUGGGUCAGGGCACACAAGCAGCAGUGAAAUCUGAUGCAGCAACCACUGGUAGCGCUAACGCAGCUGUGACAAGCUACAGUGGACAGACCAGCUCUAACCAGACACCCGCCGUCCAGAACCAGACCAACACCCAGCAACAGCAACAGCAGAUGAUGCAGUCCAAUAUGGGGUACAACAAUAUGGGGUACAAUCAGAUGGGGUAUAACCAGAUGGGUUAUAACCAGAUGGGCAACCCUAUGAUGAACCAGUGGGGUCAGGGUCAGAUGGGAGGUCAAGGUCAGAUGGGGAUGAUGGGGGCCUCCCAGCAGCAAGGGGCCCUCACAGGGACUGGGGACCAGACAGGCACAGGCAGCUAUGGCAUGGCAUCUCAGCAAGGUUGGGGCACAGAGAGCUACAAAACAGCUGACUACAGCGGCUCUGUGGGCAACACAGCCGACACCAAGAGCUACUCAGCAGCUAAGAAAAGGUGAAAAAUGGCUGCAGUCAUGAAAGAUUUGGCACCCCUUACCCAAGCUUUCUAGUCACAGUGGUGAAUGAAGCCAGGUGCGACCGCUAGCAGACAAUCUGCAGUCAAUACAUAGGAAAAUCAUUUUGAUUAAUGGCUGCUUAUGAUGCUGUAGAUAAGGUGCUUGUUGUAGGAUUGUUGAAGAGAAAGCGUGGUGAUAACUUCAACUAUGACAGCGAAUUCCGGGCUAAGAUAGCUCACUAUGCCAUUAGUGAGGAUAUAAACAGAAUUCCAGACAUUUUUCUGCAGUCCUGGGUUGUAAAGUAAGCAAGGACAUGGAACAAAGUAUGAGUGAUCAGUAUGUGAAGGUUAAACACAGCUCCAAUGUGAUCUAAAGACACUGGCCCCAUCACCAUGUAGCGAAUCAACUCUAUGAGGAGAGUAUGGCAGUGGGUCUUAGAAUUUUAAUUGGAAUCUUAGGCGGUGAUGUGAAUGUGCGAACAAUUACAGUGUCUGCAGACGGCAUGGUUAUGACAGUCAAAAGCCAAGGGGACCAAGUACAUGCCAACCGACUUGAAGAAGAUCCAGGAAGAGUUCUUGGCGAAAGUGAACAAGAUGACCCAACACGGCUUUGUCCUAUAGUAUGGGACAAUGGAGGUUUGAUGAGAAAGGCACUGCCCAAGAUACGAUAACUGAUCUGCCCAAGGACUAAGUCACUAAGAGAGGUUGUUUAUUGCCACAGCAGUUGAUCUUUACUGGAAAUACGGAACGCUGCCUGCCUAAGGGUGUCUGUUUUGAAUGGAAUAGAACAUUCACCGAGAGGCCCUGGGGUACUGAAGAGAGUUUGUAACUCACUGCCAUUAUUGCAGUUUAACCAAACAGCAAGCGAUCUGUUUUGGCAUUUACAAGGCACACCAGAGUCCAGCACUCUUGAAAAAGCUGCAAGAAAUCAACAUCACUCUCUUGUUUGUACCAGCUGCGGACCCUGAUUGUCUUCAGCAUCUGGAUCUCAGUGUAGAUUAUGAAUACAAGCAGAGUCAGAAAUCAUUCCUUCAUGACUGGUACAGCAACAAAGUCUUGUCAUUGCUUGACUUAUCACAGGAAUCAGGUUGCACUUCCACUGGCUAUGGUUACUGGAAUCGACUUUAUAUACUGGUUUCCUUAGUUGUUUCGAUAAUGUCUGUACUUGGGGGGUUUGCUGGUAGCAGGAUUGUAAUGACAGCCACUGAUCACGGAAUUCUUUAACUGGGUCUGUCUUUGCUAGUCCAGACAUGGAAAUCUGUCUGAUACUGGCGCACCUCGCGGUAACGGAUACCAUUGGUCAUUUGUCCAUACUGCCGACCUUCGAUCAGCUUGUCACAACAAAGGUGAACUCCCCCUUCAAGACCAGUCUCGUCCAUGCAUACCCAAUCAUCGUCUAUCAAAACGUAAUCAGUAUUGUCAUCAUGGUUUUCAGAAAUAAAACAAAAUACACUUAAUGCAGUCUUACAAUUAUAUGUACACAAAUAAAACAUUCAAUUUCACUAAUACUAAUAUGGAGGGAUACGUCACCAUCGCUGAAGACAUAAACCUCAAGGCAUGGACACUUGAAAUGAUCCAUGUGGAAUGGUUGAUAUCCCUUGAUUCAAAGAUGGAAGGCCGUGAAGAGUGGAUCACGGCUGGAUUCGUUGAGUAAAGCAGCUUUACAUGCACGUUGUUACUGUUAAUGUAUUUAUGAUGUAAACAAUGUUUGAGUUUGUUGUUUCAUGUUUUCUAAAUGAAAUAAUGCUAUUAAAUAAUGUUGCAAAAAUAGGGAUAAUAUGUCUUUUCACAGAUAGAAAAAAAUAACCAUUUAGUGUUGUUUUUUAAUGAGUAUUUGUUUCUAGUUUGUACGGUUUAAAUUUGUAUUUAAAAAAUCAACAUCGACUUAAAAUCAAAUACACAAUUUUAUUUGAAACAUAACAAAAGUGUUAUAGAG